AUGAUGUCAAAAUACUGCAGAUAUCGAUUGCACGAAAAGAAAAGAAAAAGUACACGUACACAUGCCCGCCCCCACACAGACAGGAAACCAGAAGAAAAGUUUCCAAAUCCUGUUUCCAGCAGCAUCCCUUCUGAGACUGCCCUACAGCAUGCUUCUGAAGGUAGGAGCCCCACCGUGAAACCAAGAGCUGAUACCUCACUCCUGACUGUGAUGAAAACGGAAAGAAUCAUCAUCCCACAUCCAGGAAGCAGAAAACUGUGGCCACCUGAGGUCAAAAGGUCCCCCAAACUCUGGGUGCUUCGCCCUGCGAGGAGAUCCCAGUUCUCGGGCGCAAGAAUCUUCCCCCUCACCUUCUCCCUUUAGCAUUUCUGUGUUCACCUCACCUGUGGCACCUGCAAGCUGCCUUGUCAUAUGUAUUGUGUUUUCAUUUUAUUCCCGUCACUACAUUUCCCUCCUUGCCGAUCACUGUGUUUUAAUCACGUUCGUGUCCCCUUGUCAGUCUUGCACCUUAUAUGUAUGAGGUAAUCCUCAACUAGCCACUGCAUUGAAUUACACGAUUUCAUGGAAGGUGAAGCGAAUUUAUGCCUCUCCCUGACUGCGAGUACUAUCACUAACCCCCAGAGAGAAUGUUGUUAUACCCUCGGAGAAACAAAACGGAAAAGAAGCAGAAGAAACCAAAAAAACCCACAAUCACAUGGCACUUCUGUUACAAUUGAGAAUUUAUUAGGUCAGAACGCCAGGUUUGGGGCAGAACUCUGGGAAAUUAAGAAGAAAUGAAUGAAAGAAGAAGAACAAGCAGGAAAAAACCUGAGAAACAGGUAUUUGAAAUAGAUCAUAGUCAUGACACAUCUGGUAGCCAGUUUCUAGAGCAUUCUGGGAACAAUGUGGAGGUAGAUGAGUCUUUGUCCCAGGAGUUGGAUGACUUGGGGCUGAGUGGUGAGGACAGUCUUACCUACAACCCCCUACCUUGACCGGCAAAUGGACUCUUCUGUCUGCUGAACUUGACUGCCACAACAUCUGUGUCUAUGCUGUGCUGACAGGGUGUU
This 1046-nucleotide long non-coding RNA is filed under the name Felis catus (domestic cat). RNAcentral describes it as "lncRNA (ENSFCAG00000050616.1)". Lineage: Eukaryota; Metazoa; Chordata; Mammalia; Carnivora; Felidae. The record is from RNAcentral.